AGCGCAGGCGGCCUGGCCAGUUUGGAGUGAAAGUUCGGGGCUCAACCCCGGAUCUGCUCUGAAUACUGCCAGGCUUGAGUACGUGAGAGGUAGGUGGAAUUCAAGGUGUAGCGGUGGAAUGCGUAGAUAUCUUGAGGAACAUCGAUGGCGAAAGCAGCCUACUGGCACGAAACUGACGCUGAGGCUCGAAAGCGUGGGGAGCGAACAGGAUUAGAUACCCUGGUAGUCC
This 229-nucleotide ribosomal RNA is filed under the name uncultured bacterium. Its description in RNAcentral is "partial 16S ribosomal RNA". It matches the Rfam family "Bacterial small subunit ribosomal RNA", at positions 568 to 796 of the family's 1533-position model. The record is from RNAcentral.